ACUGCAAAGGGAAAAAAAGGCACAAGGAUGUAAGUAACCUGUUUAAUUUUCUUAUAUUUCUAUAGCAAGCGGCAUCCAGCUAAUGUGCCAAGAGACUCCUUUCAUACCUUUCCACUCAACAAAGAAAACCUGACUUCCCAGAACAUGUGUGCACGUAACAAAAGCAACUGUUACACACAAGCGGCACAGUAUUUCUUAACUCAAAUAUGAGUUCCUUAUGAGAAAAUGAAAAGACAACGAUGGCUGUUGAAGAUCGCUUUCAGAAGGAAGAACAAGACUAUUCUAAAGACUAGAAUUGCAUGCAAAGCAGAAGGUUCUUCAAUUAUAAUGGGGAAGGUGUAAUUUCUAACUGUAAUCCAUGGCAAUUAUAGAGUACAAGUCAA
Molecule: long non-coding RNA, 383 nt
Organism: Lacerta agilis (Sand lizard)
Lineage: Eukaryota; Metazoa; Chordata; Lepidosauria; Squamata; Lacertidae
Exons: 2
Source: RefSeq, a predicted model, not a curated record